RNAcentral lists this small RNA (83 nucleotides) under Flavobacterium fryxellicola. RNAcentral's name for it is "Flavo-1 RNA". It matches the Rfam family "Flavo-1 RNA". The record is from RNAcentral. Lineage: Bacteria; Pseudomonadati; Bacteroidota; Flavobacteriia; Flavobacteriales; Flavobacteriaceae.
CCCUAGCCCAGAUAGGAGUGGAAAUCCUUUUUAUUAGCCCUUCAAGGCUGAUAAAAAGAUUGUAACGUAUAGCUGGAAAUAGC